AGAGUUUGAUCCUGGCUCAGAUUGAACGCUGGCGGCAGGCCUAACACAUGCAAGUCGAACGGUAACAGGAAGCAGCUUGCUGUUUUGCUGACGAGUGGCGGACGGGUGAGUAAUGUCUGGGAAACUGCCCGAUGGAGGGGGAUAACUACUGGAAACGGUAGCUAAUACCGCAUAACGUCGCAAGACCAAAGAGGGGGACCUUCGGGCCUCUUGCCAUCGGAUGUGCCCAGAUGGGAUUAGCUAGUUGGUGAGGUAACGGCUCACCAAGGCGACGAUCCCUAGCUGGUCUGAGAGGAUGACCAGCCACACUGGAACUGAGACACGGUCCAGACUCCUACGGGAGGCAGCAGUGGGGAAUAUUGCACAAUGGGCGCAAGCCUGAUGCAGCCAUGCCGCGUGUAUGAAGAAGGCCUUCGGGUUGUAAAGUACUUUCAGCGGGGAGGAAGGGGAUGUGGUUAAUAACCGCAUCCAUUGACGUUACCCGCAGAAGAAGCACCGGCUAACUCCGUGCCAGCAGCCGCGGUAAUA
RNAcentral lists this ribosomal RNA (528 nucleotides) under uncultured bacterium. RNAcentral describes it as "bacterial SSU rRNA". It matches the Rfam family "Bacterial small subunit ribosomal RNA", at positions 8 to 525 of the family's 1533-position model. The record is from RNAcentral.